Molecule: ribosomal RNA, 465 nt
Filed under: uncultured bacterium
Lineage: Bacteria
Description: partial 16S ribosomal RNA
Rfam family: Bacterial small subunit ribosomal RNA
Source: RNAcentral
GACGAACGCUGGCGGCGUGCUUAACACAUGCAAGUCGAACGGAAAGUUCCCUUUGGGGGUACUCGGGGGGCGAACGGGGUAGUAACACGUGAUUAACCUGGCCUUGACUUCGGGAUAACUUCAGGAAACUGGGGCUAUUACCGGGGACGAAUCCUUGCUGCACGGUGGGGGUGCGAAAGCUUCGGCGGUUUUGGGUGGACUCGCGGCCCAUCAGCUUGUAGGUGUGGUAGGGGGUUACCAAGGCUUUGACGGGUAGCCGGCGUGGGAGGGCGACCGGCCACAUUGGGACUGGGACACAGCCCCGACUCCUACGGGAGGCAGCAGUGGGGAAUAUUGCACUAUGGGCGGGAGCCUGAUGCAGCAACGCCGCGUGCGGGAUGACGGCCUUGGGGUUGUAGUCCGCUUUCAGCAGGGGCGAAGCUUGUGGUGACGGUACCUGCAGAAGAAGCACCGGCUAACUACGUG